GGCCUAACACAUGCAAGUCGAGCGGCAGCACAGGUACUUGUACCGGGUGGCGAGCGGCGGACGGGUGAGUAAUGCCUAGGAAUCUGCCUGGUAGUGGGGGAUAACGCUCGGAAACGGACGCUAAUACCGCAUACGUCCUACGGGAGAAAGCAGGGGACCUUCGGGCCUUGCGCUAUCAGAUGAGCCUAGGUCGGAUUAGCUAGUUGGUGAGGUAAAGGCUCACCAAGGCGACGAUCCGUAACUGGUCUGAGAGGAUGAUCAGUCACACUGGAACUGAGACACGGUCCAGACUCCUACGGGAGGCAGCAGUGGGGAAUAUUGGACAAUGGGCGAAAGCCUGAUCCAGCCAGGCCGCGUGUGUGAAGAAGGUCUUCGGAUUGUAAAGCC
This 387-nucleotide ribosomal RNA is filed under the name uncultured organism. RNAcentral's name for it is "bacterial SSU rRNA". It matches the Rfam family "Bacterial small subunit ribosomal RNA", at positions 45 to 432 of the family's 1533-position model. The record is from RNAcentral.